Unclassified non-coding RNA from Macaca fascicularis (crab-eating macaque), 148 nucleotides. It matches the Rfam family "Metazoan signal recognition particle RNA". From Rfam's summary of the family: The signal recognition particle (SRP) is a universally conserved ribonucleoprotein. It is involved in the co-translational targeting of proteins to membranes. The eukaryotic SRP consists of a 300-nucleotide 7S RNA and six proteins: SRPs 72, 68, 54, 19, 14, and 9. The record is from Ensembl. Lineage: Eukaryota; Metazoa; Chordata; Mammalia; Primates; Cercopithecidae.
GCUGGGUGUGGUGGUGCACACCUGUAAUCCCAGCUACUUGGGAGGCUGAGGCAGGAGAAUUGCUUGAACCCAGGAGGCGGAAGUUGCAGUGAGCCGAGAUUGCACCACUGCACUCCAGCCUGGGAGACAAAGCAAGACUCUGUCUCAA